AGUUGUGACUCUCCAGCAGCACCCCAGUCCUUUUAAAUGUUUUUAAAGCCACUCACCAACAAAAGCAGCUGCACCCCCUCACACUGUGCACGACCAGGCACUGCAGUCCAGCAGCAGAAGAGCCCCUCACAGAGGAUCAGUAUUGUCUUUUAAAACUUUCCUGAGACAGGCUCCUUCUUUUCUGGGCCGACCUGCCCCACAGCCUCAGACCACCUCACUUCCCUGCCGCCUCACCUCAACUGCCUCACCUCAACUGCCCACAGGUGCCCCCUCACAGAACAGUCCCUCCUUCCACACCUGCUCCUCAUCAGCCCCAUCAUCAUCAUCCCCCUCAGCUGCAGCUGCUAGAGGGCUUCUUUAACACUCAGAUUAAAUCAAGGCCUCACUAUUUGUACAAAAAGCUUCACUUUAGGGGAAAAAAAGAAAAAAAGAAAGGGAGUGGAUUUAGGAAUUUUAACAGUUGAACUUUCCGAGCUUCUAAAUACAUAGUUCUGAAUUGGGUUUGGAAACCUUUGUGAAAGGCACAGGGAGUCACAGGCCUCACGACAAUAUCCUUAACUUUUAUGAUCAAAGAACAGCCUAAAGGCAGCAUGAACAGAAACAUUCAGAAUAACCUCCUGAAAAACUUACCUUUUGUGAGAGUCUAUAGUUUAUGUGCUACUGAAAGGCAACAUCUGCUUCCACUUGAAGUUUGCAAGGCCAAACUUGAAAGAAUUUAAAGGCUUGCUUUGGUUUUAAAAAACCCGUGGUUGCAGUCUGUGCCCUAUUGUGCUCAGGAGAGCACUGAUCUGGAAAAAGGGAGCCAAAAUCAAGUUCCUUGCUUAUCUGAAGCAGUAAUAGUAAAAACUCUCUUUUGUCACAUUUCUGAAGAGCAAACUAUUUUCACAACUCAUCUAGGCCCUUCUUUGCCCUUCCAUCAAAGACAUAUCACUCUAGAGAGAGGAGCAGCUGAUUUAUGGGGCUGCAGAACAGCAGAACUCGGCCUUGACGAUGCUGAUUGUGUUCAGGCCGAGGACAAAACAAAGAUAAACACACACUUCAAGUCAUGAAGUCAUUCAAGAAGGUUGUGCUUCAAACCUCCUUCUGUCCCCCUCUACUGCAGUUGUUACACAACAGCCCAAGAUCAGAACAGCAAAUGGGAGAUAGAGCCUGAGCCAGGACAUACAUGUUGCUUAACAAAGCUUGAGUUCAAAAGCAGGUAAACUCAGACCUAAAUAACAUAUUAAAAAGUCUUGACACUCCAGAAAAGGAUCAGGGAACCAAGAGGCAGGUAAUGGGAUUGUUCUGUACCUUCUGACAGCAGCCUUCCUCACAGCAUAUAAGGAAUGAGCUUUUCUAGCAACUGGAAAGAAAGGAGGGGCACAGUACAUUCUCUUUUUAAGGAAAUUUCUUCUAGAAAAGUAGUUUGACAGGUACAUAUAAGGUAAAAUAUUCUACACAUUUCUAUAGCUUGGGUAAGUACAGCCUAUUAGUGCAGGCUGAUAUAACCUAUGUGACAAGAGGCUUGAAACUGAGAAAAGAUGAAAGACGAUUGGAGAUGAAAGAGCUACAGUAUAUGAUGUGCAAUUUACACCAUUAUUCCUCUCCCCUCUGUCCCCCAGCUCUGAUAGAUUAGGAGUGAAACACGACCUGCAUGGAAGUAUGAAUAUAUUGAAAGAGCCAUAGGCAGGAACCAGGGCAGCACUGAAAUUGGACAAGUAUUUGAAGGAUACUUCAAAGAGUUUUACCCUGGAAAAGAAAAUUUGAUAUUUUUUUAAUCUGAUUUUUUCCUCAUAUUGUGCAUUUGCACUAUAAGAAAGAACUAUUUCACCUUUCUUCUGUGCACUCACUUCAGGAGGAACAAAUGCAGCAAAUUUGGGAGGAUCACCUAUUAUAUCUUGCUUUUUAUUACUCAGUAUGAAAAAAGUGAAAUUCAAGAUUUCGUCCCAAUGUCUAUUAGGAAUCAUUACUAGAUGCUAUUUUAUUUUCCAGUUCUCUCAGAAUUACUGAAUCACUCCACUGGUCUGGAUGGCUUUUUUAUUCUUUACCUUUAAUACAAGUCUGCUUGGAAGCCCUUCUUUUCAAAUGUAUAUUUGGAAUGUAUAUUCACCAGAUACAAACCCACAAAAGCAAUAUAAUAUUUUCCUCAUUGUAUUUAAAUGGCAUUUAUCACAUGAAACUGUGCAACCUUACAGUUUCAGUUAUGGAUCUUCAAUAACAAAUCUGACAAAACUCCUUUCAAAUGCAUAUCUGCAACUUCCUUCCCUGUAUUUACAUGAGAGUCCAGCAGGUGAAUAAAAGGUAAAUUAAUGGGAAAAAGAUGAAAAUACUUCUUUCCCUGGAAAAUUAUUGGAGCCUUCCACUGCAAUUCCCAGCACCCUGCCAUGGAAUGAGCUAAAAAAAUCAGCAACUAUUUUACUGGCAAGGUCACCAACAUAUAACUGUUCAGGUUAUGCACUUACUGUGUUAAUAGUACAGCUGUGUUAAAGCAGCUGGAGUACAGGGAGUGAUCAAAUGUCUGUUAUUAUCACUUAUUAAACUCAGGCUACAGAACCUGAAAGUGUGGGAAUAAGGCAGACAAAGAGGAUUUGACCUCGUGAGUUAGUGCCUUACAUCCAGCUACAGAACAGAUGGACAUAAAUCUUUACAGUUCUACAGCUGUUUGCAAGGAGCUAACUCAAAAAUAAUGACAUAAACCCACUGUAACUACGUUAUUGCUGUGCUCUUGUACCUCUACACUGGUAUGUGAGGAAACCAGGACUCAACUCCAUGAAAGCUCCAAUGUCUACAAGUACUUUUUCCUCCAGCCUAUGUGCCACUGUCUGACAUCUGGUGCUUAUCCUCUGCACUCCUCUCUCCUCAUGGUGCCUCAGAUCUCCUGUCUCUGUCAGGAGCUCUUUCUUCCUCAAACAUAGCCCUAGCAGUGUGUGUAGCUGUAUAAUACCUUCCUUGUUUCUAAAUAUUUUUACAGAUCUCCAGGAUCUUGUCACUGAACAGCUUAGGCAGUCACAGAAACAGCAAAAGACAAAAUCAGGGCCAACAUCUUGUGAACAGCUGUGCCCCUCUGUAGGAAUCACUGAGAUGUGGGAUGAGGACAAGAAGAGGUUAUUCCUUUUUUCCCCCAAGAAUGCAACACACUGGUGAAAAUGCUAGAGACUGAAUGUAGAGGAUGCCCUCAAAUUCAGAGCUGGGGAAGUAAUUUAGUUUGAAUUUUACUUUUUUUUCCUGAAAAGACCAACCAUGUGUAUGUCAGACAAACAUACAGUUUCCAUUUGUCUCAAAAUAUUUCAUAAUUACAGUCAAGAGUUAUACUCUUGCCUGUGCUACUCCCCACCCCACAAAUAAACUCAAAAAUAAAUAAGCAUCAGGUUUUCCUCA
This is a long non-coding RNA of Pseudopipra pipra, 3357 nucleotides long. RefSeq lists it as uncharacterized. The transcript is spliced from 3 exons. The record is from RefSeq and is a predicted model, not a curated record. Lineage: Eukaryota; Metazoa; Chordata; Aves; Passeriformes; Pipridae.